GAGUUUGAUCAUGGCUCAGGAUGAACGCUGGCGGCGUGCUUAACACAUGCAAGUCGAACGAACGACUAUUAACAGAACCUUUCGGGGCGAAGAUGAUAGAAGUUAGUGGCGGACGGGUGCGUAACGCGUGGGUAAUCUGCCUUUGUCAAAGGAAUAACUAUUCGAAAGAAUAGCUAAAACCGUAUAACAUAUUAAUAGGGCAUCCUAAUAAUAUCAAAACGAUAGUGGACAAAGAUGAGCCCGCGUCUGAUUAGCUAGUUGGUGAGAUAAAAGCCCACCAAGGCAACGAUCAGUAGCCGACCUGAGAGGGUGAACGGCCACAUUGGAACUGAGACACGGUCCAAACUCCUACGGGAGGCAGCAGUGGGGAAUAUUGCACAAUGGGGGGAACCCUGAUGCAGCAACGCCGCGUGAGUGAAGAAGGCAUUCGUGUCGUAAAACUCUGUAGUAGGGGAAGAAAGAAAUGACAUUACCCUAAAAGAAGCCCCG
Molecule: ribosomal RNA, 489 nt
Filed under: Filifactor alocis
Lineage: Bacteria; Bacillati; Bacillota; Clostridia; Peptostreptococcales; Filifactoraceae
Description: bacterial SSU rRNA
Rfam family: Bacterial small subunit ribosomal RNA
Source: RNAcentral